AACGCUAGCUACAGGCUUAACACAUGCAAGUCGAGGGGAAACGACAUCGAAAGCUUGCUUUUGAUGGGCGUCGACCGGCGCACGGGUGAGUAACGCGUAUCCAACCUGCCCACCACUUGGGGAUAACCUUGCGAAAGUAAGACUAAUACCCAAUGAUAUCUCUAGAAGACAUCUGAAAGAGAUUAAAGAUUUAUCGGUGAUGGAUGGGGAUGCGUCUGAUUAGCUUGUUGGCGGGGUAACGGCCCACCAAGGCAACGAUCAGUAGGGGUUCUGAGAGGAAGGUCCCCCACAUUGGAACUGAGACACGGUCCAAACUCCUACGGGAGGCAGCAGUGAGGAAUAUUGGUCAAUGGACGAGAGUCUGAACCAGCCAAGUAGCGUGCAGGAAGACGGCCCUAUGGGUUGUAAACUGCUUUUAUAAGGGAAUAAAGUGAGUCUCGUGAGACUUUUUGCAUGUACCUUAUGAAUAAGGACCGGCUAAUUCCGUGCCAGCAGCCGCGGUAAUACGGAAGGUCCGGGCGUUAUCCGGAUUUAUUGGGUUUAAAGGGAGCGUAGGCCGGAGAUUAAGCGUGUUGUGAAAUGUAGAUGCUCAACAUCUGAAUUGCGGCGCGAACUGGCAGACUUGAGUGUGCGCAACGUAGGCGGAAUUCGUGGUGUAGCGGUGAAAUGCUUAGAUAUCACGAAGAACU
This 689-nucleotide ribosomal RNA is filed under the name uncultured bacterium. RNAcentral describes it as "bacterial SSU rRNA". It matches the Rfam family "Bacterial small subunit ribosomal RNA", at positions 32 to 708 of the family's 1533-position model. The record is from RNAcentral.